ACCACAGAGGAAGGUGGCAAAAUGGGUAC
RNAcentral lists this non-coding RNA (29 nucleotides) under Homo sapiens (human). The record is from RNAcentral. Lineage: Eukaryota; Metazoa; Chordata; Mammalia; Primates; Hominidae.